ACGAACGCUGGCGGCGUGCUUAACACAUGCCAGUCGAACGGAAAGGCCCUGCUUUUGUGGGGUGCUCGAGUGGCGAACGGGUGAGUAACACGUGAGUAACCUGCCCUUGACUUUGGGAUAACUUUAGGAAACUGGGGCUAAUACUGGAUAGGAGCUCCUGCUGCAUGGUGGGGGUUGGAAAGUUUCGGCGGUUGGGGAUGGACUCGGGGCUUAUCAGCUUGUUGGUGGGGUAGUGGCUUACCAAGGCUUUGCCGGGUAGCCGGCCUGGGAGGGUGACCGGCCACAUUGGUACUGAGAUACGGCCCAGACGCCUACGGGAGGCAGCGGUGGGGAAUAUUGCACAGUGAGCGGAAGCCUGAUGCAGCGGCUCCGCGUGCGUGAUGACGGCCUUCGGGUUGUAAACCGCUUUCGCCUGUGACGAAGCGUGAGUGACGGUAAUGGGUAAAGAAGCACCGGCUAACUACGUG
RNAcentral lists this ribosomal RNA (467 nucleotides) under uncultured bacterium. Its description in RNAcentral is "partial 16S ribosomal RNA". It matches the Rfam family "Bacterial small subunit ribosomal RNA", at positions 29 to 507 of the family's 1533-position model. The record is from RNAcentral.